RNAcentral lists this long non-coding RNA (393 nucleotides) under Monodelphis domestica (gray short-tailed opossum). Its description in RNAcentral is "lncRNA (ENSMODG00000030032.2)". Lineage: Eukaryota; Metazoa; Chordata; Mammalia; Didelphimorphia; Didelphidae. The record is from RNAcentral.
GAAUAAACAGCUUUUCUGCAUAUUGAUGUAGAAAACCACAGAUUAAGAUCAUCUACAUUGCAUUGUAUUUUUAUGUAUUUGGUUCAACAUUUUCCAUUUAUAUUUUAAUGUAGGUAUUCACUGGACAGAAUUUAAUUCUUCUGGACUAGCAGAUAUCUGAGUUCACAGGCCCCCCGAGGACUAAGUAGACCCCAGGUACAGAAUUCCUGGACCACCUAUUCCUGAAUGAAGGUGGGGAGAGAUCGUUAUGGCUUACUCUUCAUGACAAGCUGGGUUCAAUAGGGAUGAGACAGAAAAGAGAAAGAGAAAGCACUCUGUCCUCAGAUACUAUGGGAGGGGACUCCUCUUCCAGGCAAUAAAAUUAUUCCUCUCCAGCAUCCCCGUUAGCCAUGA